GGUGAACGCUAGCGGUGCGCCUAACACAUGCAAGUCGAACGCGACCUACCAUGAAAUUUGAAGUGCUUGCACGGAUGACGAAUUGGAUUUUGGGUUGAGUGGCGAACGGGUGAGUAACACGUUGGUACCUGCCCCCAAGUCAGGGAUAGCCAUUGGAAACGAUGAUUAAUACCGGAUGUGCUCUUCGGAGUAAAGAUUUAUCGCUUGGGGAGGGGCCUGCGGACUAUCAGCUUGUUGGUGAGGUAAUAGCUCACCAAGGCUAUGACGGUUAACUGGUCUGAGAGGAUGAUCAGUCACAAUGAAACUGAGACACGGUUCAUACUCCUACGGGAGGCAGCAGUGAGGAAUCUUCCACAAUGGACGAAAGUCUGAUGGAGCGACACCGCGUGAAGGAUGAAGGUCUAACGAUUGUAAACUUCUUUUCUGAGGGAGCAAAAUGAGAGUACCUCAGGAAUAAGGGACGGCUAAUUACG
This 473-nucleotide ribosomal RNA is filed under the name uncultured bacterium. RNAcentral's name for it is "bacterial SSU rRNA". It matches the Rfam family "Bacterial small subunit ribosomal RNA", at positions 28 to 505 of the family's 1533-position model. The record is from RNAcentral.